Molecule: long non-coding RNA, 572 nt
Filed under: Prunus persica (peach)
Lineage: Eukaryota; Viridiplantae; Streptophyta; Magnoliopsida; Rosales; Rosaceae
Description: long non-coding RNA (PPER_LNC001853)
Source: RNAcentral
UCGAGUACAAAUGCGUUACAUUGCAUAUGUCACUUUGUUCAUGCCACAUCUUAGAAACUGGUGGAAUAGGAUGAUCUGGAGACAAAUGAACGUACUAAAACAAGAAUUCAUUAAUAUACACAUAUCAUAUAAAAAUAAACUACAAACAAAAACAAAUAAAUUCAUACCGAAAUAUAGUGAUCAUCAUAAAUAAAACCAAUGACAAUCACACAUAGGUUUGUAUGUUGAAUAAAACAUCAGGGGAAGCCAAAAUAGAAUAGACCAUACAUCUUUUUUUAAAUAAUAGUUUUCGGAUUUUAUAAAUUGUUUUUUCUUUCAUUCUGCAGAUGCUUAAUAUCUCAUAUCUCCUAGGUGGCUAGAUCAUACCACUACCAAUUCAAAGUUCUUUUCAUUACAAAUUUAAAGUUCUUUUCAUUCCUUUUUUUUUUUUUUUAUAUAAUGAACUUUUCAUUCCUUUACUUGCAAGUGUUUUUUUUUUUUCUAAUAAAAUUAGACCAUAACUCAGAAACAAAGCAAUCCUAUCUAUUAGGAAUAACACAUGUGAUUUUUGUUUUCAAUUUGGAUCAUGUGUA